GUAGCUGCCACCCAGCAGACCAGCAGGGACCUCCAUGGCCAUGCUCCCGGGCCCAGGAUGGCAAAGGGUGGCGGGCUGUCAGCAGGCUGCUGAGAUCGAGUGCACAGGGCUCUGACCUAUGAAUUGACAGCCAGUGCUCUCAUCUCUCCUCUGGCUGCCAAUUCCAUAGGUCACAGGUAUGUUCGCCUCAAUGCCAGCCACCAGGAUCUGUGGGGGAAGGGACGGGGCUGGGGUGUCCAGAGGGCAGUGAAGACUUGCUACCCCAGUGCAGCACUCAGGCCCAGCUCCCUCCUGUUUCAUUCCUACCUUUCCUCCUGUGAGCCUGCACUGCUUUAGGUCCCCACCUAGACGGACUGUGUGUGACAUGCCUCUGUGCUUUACCCAUCCUGUUCCCUCUGCUUGGAACACCCUUCUAGCUUUUUUUUGCCAGGUUCACCCUUACUAACUGUUCCAAGAUCUGCCCAAGCAUUUGCUGCCUCCAGGAAGCCUUCCUGAAGCCCACCCACUUGAUCCCUACUGCCCACCUGGGCACCCCCAGCACCCUGGGCUUCCCCAGAAGACUGAACUCCCCCGGUGUUUCCACCCUCCCCACCACCUGUGAGGUCAGCUUCCAGCCCACGCCGAGCCCAGUCCCCAACCCUGCAGGCUCCCCCAGCCCAGCUAGCAGUUGUGGUGGUAGCAGAGAAGGCACCUUAGGGGGCAGGACUCCGACCUAGCCCCCGCUCCAGCUUCCCACACAGCUUCACCCCUGCCUGGCUUUAAUAUGAUGCAGUUCUGGAGACAUCCUCAUUGGAAUAAGAAGGCUUCUGCUGCUAAAAGAUAAACUUUUCAAACCUGGAAACACAGACCUAAGAAUAAAGUUCGAAUUGCUUAAUAACAA
Nyctereutes procyonoides (raccoon dog) is the source of this 880-nucleotide long non-coding RNA. RefSeq lists it as uncharacterized. Lineage: Eukaryota; Metazoa; Chordata; Mammalia; Carnivora; Canidae. The transcript has 2 exons. The record is from RefSeq and is a predicted model, not a curated record.